AGUGUGGGAAAGUGGGAGGAAGGAUAGAAGGACCUGAAGGGGACAGGAGCUCCACAAGACGACCAACAGCACCAACUAACCAGGGCUCAAAGGGGCUUGAAGCUCCUAGACUAGGACUGGGACCUAAGCCCCCUACACAGAUGCAGCAGACGGGCAGCUCAGCAUUCCCUAAUAAGGGUAGCCAGGGCUGUUUCCCACAUUGACUCUUUUGCCUGCUUUUGGUCAUUUCCCCCUGCCCAGACUGCCUAGCCAGACCACAGGGGAAGAGGACCUGCUCAAUCCUAAUGCAACUUGACGAGAUAUGUGGACGUCCUGGGCUCAAAUAAAUAAAUAUUUUUAAAAUAGGAGUCUAGAACCCAUAGGGAAGAGCUUGUAAACUCCCUUGAUACCUCAGUGCAAUCAUAUGCUGACAGCUCAUGGAAACAGCAUCUGUUUUGUCCAGAAGCCACCACCACGCAGCAGGACUGACAGCCUGUUGCAGAUGCUAAAGUGCCAUUGCGCUUAGUGAGGAAAGAAUUCCCCAACAGGAAGGGGGACCAGAAUGACUCUUCACCCACAGACUCCUGCUACAACAAUUUGGUAAAGGCUGAGGGGCUACGGUAUGGAUACAGGUUAGGACGAUGCGCAAAGCAUCAAGAAUGCUGAAAUCCUCUGAACCUUGGGAGGGUUGCAUCAUCACUCACGUUCAGUAGCUUUUAUAUUUCUUAACAAGCCGAGGGGAAGGCACAGAUAUCAGCCUGUCGCAUGUGCAGAGAAACCCAUGGAGAUCGUGCAGACUCUGAUUCAGAAUGUUUCCCAGGGCCCUGAGAUCUGUCCAGUGACCAGUUCUCAGGGAUGCAUUUUACAUCAGAAGCAGAGAGGAUUGUCAUGCCAUGCGUGGUGAACUCUAUUUUCUUAUAGAUCAGUCCUGGAGGAUAAGAGCUUGUCGAUAUAAGCAGGAUUUCUGCUGCAGAAGCCCGCGGAGUGGGGAGUGAGUCUCAAACCCUGGCGCCAAACAGGUGGCGCAGGAGGUGUGCUUCAAAUCCACAAGGGAGAUGAUAUCUGAGAUAAGGAAGGAGAGAGCUAGGCACGAUAACACACACCUUUAGUUCCAGCACUCAGGAGGCAGAGGCAGACAGAUCUGAGUUCAAGGCCAGUUUGAUCUACAGAGAGGGUUCUAUGAUAGGACAGCCAGGUUACACAGAAAAACAAAACAAAUCAAAGCAAACUAAGGAGGGGAAGAAGGAAAGAAAAGGGAAGAAAAAAAAAGGAAUUAGAGAAUGGAUAAGUGGGAAAAAAUAAUGUAAA
Molecule: long non-coding RNA, 1287 nt
Organism: Meriones unguiculatus (Mongolian gerbil)
Lineage: Eukaryota; Metazoa; Chordata; Mammalia; Rodentia; Muridae
Exons: 3
Source: RefSeq, a predicted model, not a curated record